RNAcentral lists this long non-coding RNA (474 nucleotides) under Homo sapiens (human). RNAcentral's name for it is "HSALNT0364970". The record is from RNAcentral. Lineage: Eukaryota; Metazoa; Chordata; Mammalia; Primates; Hominidae.
GUAACACUCAACCGCGAGGGUCCACGGCUUCAUUCUUGAAGUGAGCCUCAUCCAAUUUGUGAAAGCCUGAAUAGAACAAAAGUCUGACCCUCCGCUGAGUAAGAGAGAAUUCUUCCUGCCUGAAUGCCUUCACACUGAGAUAUGGGUUUUUGUCCUGUUUUCAGAGUAGAACCAAAACAUUGGCUCUUCCUGGACCUUCAACCUACCAGCUUUUGAACUGAACCUACACCAUUGGCUCUCCUGGUUCUCAUGCCUUCAAAUUCAGACUGAAAUCCUUUUAUUCUCCAGAAAAUACAUCAUUUUCCAUUUUCUCCUGAAAUUUUAAAGUUCGCCUUUUCACAUUCAGAUUAAUCUACCUGGAAUUUGCAGAGGCAUGCAUGAUGUGGUAUAGGGAAUCUUUUGGGGACUGGGUUUUUUUAUUUUUACUUAUUUAUUUUCGAGAUGGAGUCUCACUCUGUCACCCAGGCUGGAGUG